Sander lucioperca (pikeperch) is the source of this 661-nucleotide long non-coding RNA. RefSeq lists it as uncharacterized. NCBI's taxonomy places the organism in Eukaryota, Metazoa, Chordata, Actinopteri, Perciformes, Percidae. The transcript is spliced from 2 exons. The record is from RefSeq and is a predicted model, not a curated record.
ACAUCUCUCCUGUCUCUCUACUUAAAUACAGUUCUAGAAUAUAUUGACAUACUGACACAGGUAAACAGUCAUGCACACUGGAACUGGAACCACCUAACCUAGGGGCAGCAGAACAAGCUGUAAUCUAUGGGUGGAAAUCACCAGAGGUCCCACAAUAUUAAUUCACGUAAUUACUGGAAAAAAGUAACAAAAUAAAGAUAAGUUGUGAGGCUAAUCCUGCCUGUUAUGCUUAUCCUGUUGUGAUUUGACACUAUAAAUUAAAUUGAAUUGAAUAUCAGUUCCCAGCAUCUGUUGAAAACACAUAAGUCUGCAUGCUCACACAUAAUCAUAACUCUACGCAAGCAUAUUAGCUCAUUAGUACGAUUAGUCACUAGAAAGAAAAGAGAGACUGAUAACGCACAUAAUAGGCCUUUUAUCAGAAAAGACACUUACAAUAUGGUAAAAGUAAUACAAUAAUCUAUGGCUGAAUUCCAUUUAAAUGCAUAGUCUUCAGGGUCCUGGCAUCACACAUGCUGGCUUACUGUCACACUGUCAUGGCUCACUGGGACACUUGAAUAGAACAGAGCCACCGUUAAUGUUACUACACUUUCUUUUCUACAUUAAAAUGUCUGCUGUGAAAGUGGCCUAUUAUGAUGCUUCUAUCAGACACAGUAAGUUAUAA